RNAcentral lists this ribosomal RNA (363 nucleotides) under uncultured Desulfocapsa sp. Its description in RNAcentral is "bacterial SSU rRNA". It matches the Rfam family "Bacterial small subunit ribosomal RNA", at positions 1018 to 1382 of the family's 1533-position model. The record is from RNAcentral. Lineage: Bacteria; Pseudomonadati; Thermodesulfobacteriota; Desulfobulbia; Desulfobulbales; Desulfocapsaceae.
CAAGAGGAGCCUGGUGACAGGUGCUGCAUGGCUGUCGCCAGCUCGUGUCGUGAGAUGUUGGGUUAAGUCCCGCAACGAGCGCAACCCUUGUCUUUAGUUGCCAUCAUUCAGUUGGGCACUCUAAAGAGACUGCCGGUGUCAAACCGGAGGAAGGUGGGGAUGACGUCAAGUCCUCAUGGCCUUUAUGACCAGGGCUACACACGUACUACAAUGGCCGGUACAAAGGGCAGCCACUUAGCGAUAAGGAGCCAAUCCCGUAAAGCCGGUCUCAGUCCGGAUUGGAGUCUGCAACUCGACUCCAUGAAGUUGGAAUCGCUAGUAAUCGCAGAUCAGCACGCUGCGGUGAAUACGUUCCCGGGCCUU